ACCAGGAGAUGAGCUACAGAGGUUGAGUUCAUGGGCUCCUUUAUAUAAGCCUUGCCUCAAAGGGAUGUCUUCUGGACUAAGUUCUCUCCUCUUUCUUGCUUUCCAGAAACUGGACUCUGAGGGAAUUUCACUGAAACUAACUAAUUCAGAGAGUUAGUGCUGAAAAUUUAAAAAGCAAAGCAAACCUUGCAGGAUUUCAAUAUAAGAUGAAGAAGCACGAACUACAGCUGAGCUAUAAAGUUCCAUGCCAAUGAAAUCCAAGGAACUUCCUGGAUAGGAGGCUGAAAAUGAUACCAAGGAAGGCUAUGCAGAAGACCAUCAUAGCAGCAUAGUGUUACGAUCGGAGGGUGACUCUUCUGGAUUUUCCAUCAGUCAUAGCUCUGUUAGCACAGACGCAACGCUGACUGUGGAAAAUGUACAGUUGACCUGGUUCAGCAAGAGUGAGACGAGGGAGGGCAGGCUGUCUUCUCUACAGAUCACCCAGUGACCACCACUCAUCCUCAUCUCACUUUCAGGAUUCCUAUGUCUAUGAUGCCUCUUUUAUACCAUGCUGCUUUAGUUUAUAAUCUG
RNAcentral lists this long non-coding RNA (570 nucleotides) under Pogona vitticeps (central bearded dragon). RNAcentral's name for it is "lncRNA (ENSPVIG00000006600.1)". Lineage: Eukaryota; Metazoa; Chordata; Lepidosauria; Squamata; Agamidae. The record is from RNAcentral.